RNAcentral lists this ribosomal RNA (155 nucleotides) under leaf litter ascomycete strain its086. RNAcentral describes it as "5.8S ribosomal RNA". It matches the Rfam family "5.8S ribosomal RNA". Rfam says of the family: 5.8S ribosomal RNA (5.8S rRNA) is a component of the large subunit of the eukaryotic ribosome. It is transcribed by RNA polymerase I as part of the 45S precursor that also contains 18S and 28S rRNA. Lineage: Eukaryota; Fungi; Ascomycota. The record is from RNAcentral.
AACUUUCAACAACGGAUCUCUUGGCUCUGGCAUCGAUGAAGAACGCAGCAAAAUGCGAUAAGUAAUGUGAAUUGCAGAAUUCAGUGAAUCAUCGAAUCUUUGAACGCACAUUGCGCCCGCCAGUAUUCUGGCGGGCAUGCCUGUUCGAGCGUCAU